CCCUGGCUAGCUCUGUUGGUAGAGCAUGAGACUCAUAAUCUCAGGGUAGUGGGUCCAUGUCCCAUGUUGGGCA
This 73-nucleotide transfer RNA is filed under the name Lepisosteus oculatus (spotted gar). It matches the Rfam family "tRNA". Rfam says of the family: Transfer RNA (tRNA) molecules are approximately 80 nucleotides in length. Their secondary structure includes four short double-helical elements and three loops (D, anti-codon, and T loops). Further hydrogen bonds mediate the characteristic L-shaped molecular structure. tRNAs have two regions of fundamental functional importance: the anti-codon, which is responsible for specific mRNA codon recognition, and the 3' end, to which the tRNAs corresponding amino acid is attached (by aminoacyl-tRNA synthetases). tRNAs cope with the degeneracy of the genetic code in two manners: having more than one tRNA (with a specific anti-codon) for a particular amino acid; and 'wobble' base-pairing, i.e. permitting non-standard base-pairing at the 3rd anti-codon position. Lineage: Eukaryota; Metazoa; Chordata; Actinopteri; Semionotiformes; Lepisosteidae. The record is from Rfam by way of RNAcentral.